GGGGGUACAGCUCAGUGGUGGAGCCUGUGCUUAGCAUGCAUGAGGUCCCAGGUUCAAUCCUCAGUACCUCCA
RNAcentral lists this transfer RNA (72 nucleotides) under Camelus bactrianus (Bactrian camel). It matches the Rfam family "tRNA". Rfam says of the family: Transfer RNA (tRNA) molecules are approximately 80 nucleotides in length. Their secondary structure includes four short double-helical elements and three loops (D, anti-codon, and T loops). RNAcentral also lists the same sequence under 3 other names. The record is from Rfam by way of RNAcentral. Lineage: Eukaryota; Metazoa; Chordata; Mammalia; Artiodactyla; Camelidae.